Neomonachus schauinslandi (Hawaiian monk seal) is the source of this 497-nucleotide long non-coding RNA. RefSeq lists it as uncharacterized. Lineage: Eukaryota; Metazoa; Chordata; Mammalia; Carnivora; Phocidae. The transcript is spliced from 3 exons. The record is from RefSeq and is a predicted model, not a curated record.
AAAUAAAUGAAGCACGUGGCUUCAGAGGGGACUUUCCCCAGCGGAGCAGGAAGAGCUGAUGGCUGGAACAGCCCCGAGCAAGGGGCAAACUUUGCUGCAGACAGCUGCCUCCAGCAAGCACAAAAGCGUGAAGUGCCCGCAGCCAGACCGUCCACUCGGAGCCUCAGGACCUUCCACACACCGAACCUGAAGGUACGGACCUCUUCCCCACACCGACCUUCAGCUCCUGGCCCAGGCGAAAGUGCAUCUAAUGACCCGGAGAGCAGAAGCUGCCGGACCAUUCCUGUGACCCUUCAGACCUGGAAGGAGCCCAGCGCAGGGGGUUGCUGACCAGGGUAAGGCCUGGGCUGAGCCUGCUGCAUCUGUCCCCAGCUCUGCCUCAGACCCUGGCUUCCAGAUUCAGCCUCAUCCUUCCCAACCAAGGCUCUGACCUGGCAUCUCCACCAAACCUGCCUCCCCUUUGUCCAUGGAUCCAUCUAGACUCUCACUUAUAACCA